UGCCGGGUUGUGUAAUGGUAGCACGACGGGCUCUGGACCCGUUAGUGAAGGUUCGAAUCCUUCCCCGGCAG
This 71-nucleotide transfer RNA is filed under the name Elusimicrobiota bacterium. RNAcentral describes it as "Elusimicrobia bacterium (aquatic metagenome) tRNA-Gln". It matches the Rfam family "tRNA". Rfam says of the family: Transfer RNA (tRNA) molecules are approximately 80 nucleotides in length. Their secondary structure includes four short double-helical elements and three loops (D, anti-codon, and T loops). Lineage: Bacteria; Pseudomonadati; Elusimicrobiota. The record is from RNAcentral.